AUUUCACCAUGUUGGCCAGGCUGGUCUCGAUCUCCUGACUUCAGAUGAUCCACCCACCUCGGCCUCCCAAAGUGCUGGGAUUACAGGCGUGAGCCACCGCGCCCGGCCAGCAUUUUCAUUUCCAACUGGAACCAGCUCUGUUCUGGGAAGUCCAUUUUGGGGAGGAAGGAGAGACAGCAAGCCAGAAGGGCUGUGAGUCAUGUCAUUCCCCUGCUUGAGAGCUCCUGUUGACUCCCUGUCUCCCUUAGGACAAGUCCAAGUUCUCCACGUGCCACUGAAGUCCUGCUAUUCUCAUCCCUUUCCUUCCAAAAGGGAAGUUCAUCCCCACAAGCUGGUAGAGCUUGACAAGUAGACAGGCCCUGGCUGGGCACGGUGGCUCAGGCCUGUAAUCCCAGCACUUUGGGAAGCCGAGGCAGGCGGAUCACCUGAGGUCAGGAGUUCGAGACCAGCCUGGCCAACAUGGCGAAAGCUUGUCUGUACUAAAAAUACAGAAAUUAGCCAGGCGUGCUAGUGUGCACCUGUAGUCCCAGCUACUAGAUAGGCUGAGCCAGGAGAAUCACAUGAACCCGGGAGGCAGAGGUUGCAGUGAGCCGAGAUCAUGCCACUGCACUCCAGCCUGGGUGACAGAGUGAGAGCCUGUCUCAAAAACAAAACAAAACAAAAGAGGCCCCAAUAAUACAGUGUGUAACUGGGACACGAAGGGCUGUGUGGACACAGAGACGUAGACCAGCCCAGACUUGGGAGACAGGGAAGGAGGGACAGCUCAGCUGAGACCCAAGGAAUAAACAGAGGUUACUCAACUGUGUAGACCAGCGUAGAAGACUGGAAGGGUGGGGAGCGGGGGAAGGGCGUGCCUGGCAGAGGGAACAACAGGAGCAGAGGCCUGAAGGAUGCAAUGUGUGGAGGAAUCGCCGCUCUGCAGGGCUGGAGAGGCUCCCUGAGGGCCCCUCCAUGCCCUAGGACCCAGCAGCCAUGCAGAGCUGAAGGGAGCAAGCCAAAGACUCAGACAGGCGUGGCCCUGCAGGACAGGGACUGGUGGACCCGGGAGCCUCCCACUGGUAGGGCCACAGGAACGGCCAAGUGAACAGUGUAGGAGUGUGAGCACCAGGGGGCGCUGCAGGAUCAGACGUGCACACCUGGACCCCACCACAGGAUGAGGU
RNAcentral lists this long non-coding RNA (1160 nucleotides) under Pongo abelii (Sumatran orangutan). Its description in RNAcentral is "lncRNA (ENSPPYG00000031314.1)". The record is from RNAcentral. Lineage: Eukaryota; Metazoa; Chordata; Mammalia; Primates; Hominidae.